GAAGGCUGCAAGCUUUGCCUUCUCCUCUUGGCUUAGGCACGAGUCGAUUGGCGCUUUUCUCUCUGGCUUGUCAAGAUCAAGGGGUACUAGCUCGACAUCCUCUUCGAGCUUCCAUCCUUCUUCAAGAAAGACCUCCGGACAGAUGGUCCUGAUUCUUUGAUUGUUAUUGGGGAGCAGCUAUCCCUUUCCCUUUCUUGUCUGC
Molecule: long non-coding RNA, 202 nt
Filed under: Prunus persica (peach)
Lineage: Eukaryota; Viridiplantae; Streptophyta; Magnoliopsida; Rosales; Rosaceae
Description: long non-coding RNA (PPER_LNC006219)
Source: RNAcentral